Molecule: ribosomal RNA, 570 nt
Filed under: uncultured fungus
Lineage: Eukaryota; Fungi
Description: eukaryotic LSU rRNA
Rfam family: 5.8S ribosomal RNA (bases 208-361)
Source: RNAcentral
CGUAACAAGGUCUCCGUGGGUGAACCUGCGGAGGGAUCAUUACACAAAUAUGAAGGCGGGCUGGAACCUCUCGGGGUUACAGCCUUGCUGAAUUAUUCACCCUUGUCUUUUGCGUACUUCUUGUUUCCUUGGUGGGUUCGCCCACCACUAGGACGAACAUAAACCUUUUGUAAUUGCAAUCAGCGCCAGUAACAAAUUAAUAAUUACAACUUUCAACAACGGAUCUCUUGGUUCUGGCAUCGAUGAAGAACGCAGCGAAAUGCGAUAAGUAGUGUGAAUUGCAGAAUUCAGUGAAUCAUCGAAUCUUUGAACGCACAUUGCGCCCUUUGGUAUUCCAAAAGGCAUGCCUGUUCGAGCGUCAUUUGUACCCUCAAGCUUUGCUUGGUGUUGGGCGUCUUGUCUCUAGCUUUGCUGGAGACUCGCCUUAAAGUAAUUGGCAGCCGGCCUACUGGUUUCGGAGCGCAGCACAAGUCGCACUCUCUAUCAGCAAAGGUCUAGCAUCCAUUAAGCCUUUUUUUCAACUUUUGACCUCGGAUCAGGUAGGGAUACCCGCUGAACUUAAGCAUAUCA